Non-coding RNA from Schistosoma rodhaini, 45 nucleotides. The record is from Rfam. NCBI's taxonomy places the organism in Eukaryota, Metazoa, Platyhelminthes, Trematoda, Strigeidida, Schistosomatidae.
AUUUAGCUGACGAGUCCCAAAUAAGACGAAACGAUCGUCUUGGAU